AACUCCUGUCAUUAUACUGUGUUUUUUUCUUUCUUUCUCUAGAACUAUAAUUUGCCCCUCCUGUGACUCACCCCCAUCUCUCCAUGGGAUCCAGAAGCUGAGCUGGUGACGAGAUCUCCGCUCCAUGGCAUGGUGACCUGAAGAGGAAGCGCAACAAGUGUAAUCACGGUUUGUCAAUCAGAAAAUAACACCAAACCACAGUUUGCAGAAACCAAUCUGGAUGUCCUGACUAACCAUAGUUAAGAUGCUAGAAUGUUUACAGCAUCAAUUAAGCAAAAGCAGCCAGCUACCAUUUCUGAAGCAGUUCCAUUGCCGAGCUCUGAUUCA
Molecule: long non-coding RNA, 327 nt
Organism: Podarcis muralis (Common wall lizard)
Lineage: Eukaryota; Metazoa; Chordata; Lepidosauria; Squamata; Lacertidae
Source: RefSeq, a predicted model, not a curated record